Molecule: ribosomal RNA, 560 nt
Filed under: Brevundimonas sp. Y3-0-5
Lineage: Bacteria; Pseudomonadati; Pseudomonadota; Alphaproteobacteria; Caulobacterales; Caulobacteraceae
Description: bacterial SSU rRNA
Rfam family: Bacterial small subunit ribosomal RNA
Source: RNAcentral
GGUGAGUAACACGUGGGAACGUGCCUUUAGGUUCGGAAUAACUCAGGGAAACUUGUGCUAAUACCGAAUGUGCCCUUCGGGGGAAAGAUUUAUCGCCUUUAGAGCGGCCCGCGUCUGAUUAGCUAGUUGGUGAGGUAAAGGCUCACCAAGGCGACGAUCAGUAGCUGGUCUGAGAGGAUGAUCAGCCACAUUGGGACUGAGACACGGCCCAAACUCCUACGGGAGGCAGCAGUGGGGAAUCUUGCGCAAUGGGCGAAAGCCUGACGCAGCCAUGCCGCGUGAAUGAUGAAGGUCUUAGGAUUGUAAAAUUCUUUCAGUAGGGACGAUAAUGACGGUACCUACAGAAGAAGCCCCGGCUAACUUCGUGCCAGCAGCCGCGGUAAUACGAAGGGGGCUAGCGUUGCUCGGAAUUACUGGGCGUAAAGGGAGCGUAGGCGGACAUUUAAGUCAGGGGUGAAAUCCCGGGGCUCAACCUCGGAAUUGCCUUUGAUACUGGGUGUCUUGAGUGUGAGAGAGGUAUGUGGAACUCCGAGUGUAGAGGUGAAAUUCGUAGAUAUUCG